CGCAUCUGUGCAUGCAGCAUAUCAAUAAGCGGAGGAAAAGAAACUAACAAGGAUUCCCCUAGUAACGGCGAGUGAAGCGGGAAGAGCUCAAAUUUGAAAUCUUAAAGGGUUUCCCUUUACGAAUUGUAGUUUAAAGAAGUGUUUUCUGUUGAGGUUUUGGUAAAGGUUCUUUGGAAUAGGACAUCAUAGAGGGUGAGAAUCCCGUAUUUGACCUUUACUUUCAACUUUGUGAUACACUUUCAAAGAGUCGGAUUGUUUGGGAAUGCAGUCCAAAAUGGGUGGUAAAUUUCAUCUAAAGCUAAAUAUUGGCGAGAGACCGAUAGGCGAACAAGUACCGUGAGGGAAAGAUGAAAAGAACUUUGAAAAGAGAGUUAAACAGUACGUGAAAUUGUCAAAAGGGAAGCGUUUGACACCAGUGUUGUUUUUCUGAAAAUCAAUUAAAGAACUGUUUAUGCUAAGUUGUUUAGACUUUAUCAGCUAAUCUGCUUAGUUUUGAGCUUUUCUUUAAUGCACUUUUCAGUUAACAAGUCAACAUCAAUUUCUUUUGCUGUAAAAAAGCUUGAGGAAGGUGGCUUGAGAUUCGUCUUAAGUGUUUAUAGCCUCUUGCCUAUGCAGUCGGAGAGAUUGAGGUCUGCAGCGUAGAUCCUUCGGGGCUAAAUGCAUUUGUGCUAAGUUAUAGCAUUUUAUAGACAACUUGUUGACUAUGAUUUGUCUUGUAGCUUACUCGCUUAUGUUAUUUUACCUACGCUUAGGAUGUUGAACGCGCACAGAGUCUC
RNAcentral lists this ribosomal RNA (776 nucleotides) under uncultured Neocallimastigales. RNAcentral describes it as "partial large subunit ribosomal RNA". It matches the Rfam family "Eukaryotic large subunit ribosomal RNA", at positions 26 to 614 of the family's 3401-position model. Lineage: Eukaryota; Fungi; Neocallimastigomycota; Neocallimastigomycetes; Neocallimastigales. The record is from RNAcentral.